GGGGACCGCAUGGGUAUGUGGGCCUCAGGCCCGCGGGGGGCGGGCGCGCUGCUGUGGAGCACUUUGCGGGCCACCUUCUUGUACGCCGUCUGGUGUGCGUACUGGUCCCGCGAGCCUGCUAAGCAGACGUCGGAGCAUGUGGUUCAGGAGGUGGUCAGCGAGCUGCGCAGGGUGAUGCAGCUGCGUUUCACUGCCGCCACGCUAACCCCUGAAACCCUGUCGGCUCUGCCCACUCAGCUUCUCACCGCACAGCUCAAGGCGGCUAAGCUGGAGCACUUUGUGGCCAUCUGGUCG
RNAcentral lists this long non-coding RNA (294 nucleotides) under Chlamydomonas reinhardtii. RNAcentral describes it as "long non-coding RNA (CREI_LNC001258)". The record is from RNAcentral. Lineage: Eukaryota; Viridiplantae; Chlorophyta; Chlorophyceae; Chlamydomonadales; Chlamydomonadaceae.